UGGGGAAUAUUGCGCAAUGGGGGAAACCCUGACGCAGCGACGCCGUGUGAGGGAAGAAGGCUUUCGGGUCGUAAACCUCUGUCAGGAAGGAAGAACCUCUCAAGGCUGAACAAGCCUUGGGACUGACGGUACUUCCAGAGGAAGCACCGGCUAACUCCGUGCCAGCAGCCGCGGUAAUACGGAGGGUGCAAGCGUUAAUCGGAAUCACUGGGCGUAAAGCGCGCGUAGGCCGUCUUUUAAGUCGGACGUGAAAGCCCUCGGCUCAACCGGGGAACCGCGUUCGAUACUGGGAGACUUGAGUCCUGGAGAGGGUGGCGGAAUUCCGGGUGUAGGAGUGAAAUCCGUAGAUAUCCGGAGGAACACCGGUGGCGAAGGCGGCCACCUGGACAGGUACUGACGCUGAGGCGCGAAAGCGUGGGGAGCAAACA
This 428-nucleotide ribosomal RNA is filed under the name uncultured bacterium. RNAcentral's name for it is "bacterial SSU rRNA". It matches the Rfam family "Bacterial small subunit ribosomal RNA", at positions 355 to 774 of the family's 1533-position model. The record is from RNAcentral.